This 1342-nucleotide ribosomal RNA is filed under the name uncultured bacterium. RNAcentral's name for it is "bacterial SSU rRNA". It matches the Rfam family "Bacterial small subunit ribosomal RNA", at positions 51 to 1400 of the family's 1533-position model. The record is from RNAcentral.
ACACAUGCAAGUCGAACGAUGGUCCUCAGCUUGCUGGGGGGAUUAGUGGCGAACGGGUGAGUAACACGUGAGUAACCUGCCCUUGACUCUGGGAUAAGCCUGGGAAACCGGGUCUAAUACCGGAUAUUACUUGUCACUGCAUGGUGGUGGGUGGAAAGCCUUUGGGCGGUUUUGGAUGGACUCGCGGCCUAUCAGCUUGUUGGUGGGGUAAUGGCCUACCAAGGCGGCGACGGGUAGCCGGCCUGAGAGGGUGGACGGCCACACUGGGACUGAGACACGGCCCAGACUCCUACGGGAGGCAGCAGUGGGGAAUAUUGCACAAUGGGCGCAAGCCUGAUGCAGCGACGCCGCGUGGGGGAUGAAGGCCUUCGGGUUGUAAACUCCUUUCAGUAGGGAAGAAGCCGUAAGGUGACGGUACCUGCAGAAGAAGCGCCGGCUAACUACGUGCCAGCAGCCGCGGUAAUACGUAGGGCGCAAGCGUUAUCCGGAAUUAUUGGGCGUAAAGAGCUCGUAGGCGGUUUGUCGCGUCUGCCGUGAAAGUCCGGGGCUUAACCCCGGAUCUGCGGUGGGUACGGGCAGACUAGAGUGAUGUAGGGGAGACUGGAAUUCCUGGUGUAGCGGUGAAAUGCGCAGAUAUCAGGAGGAACACCGAUGGCGAAGGCAGGUCUCUGGGCAUUAACUGACGCUGAGGAGCGAAAGCAUGGGGAGCGAACAGGAUUAGAUACCCUGGUAGUCCAUGCCGUAAACGUUGGGCACUAGGUGUGGGGGACAUUCCACGUUUUCCGCGCCGUAGCUAACGCAUUAAGUGCCCCGCCUGGGGAGUACGGCCGCAAGGCUAAAACUCAAAGGAAUUGACGGGGGCCCGCACAAGCGGCGGAGCAUGCGGAUUAAUUCGAUGCAACGCGAAGAACCUUACCAAGGCUUGACAUGAACUGGAACGGCGCAGAGAUGUGUCGGCCGCUUGCGGCCGGUUUACAGGUGGUGCAUGGUUGUCGUCAGCUCGUGUCGUGAGAUGUUGGGUUAAGUCCCGCAACGAGCGCAACCCUCGUUCUAUGUUGCCAGCGCGUUAUGGCGGGGACUCAUAGGAGGCUGCCGGGGUCAACUCGGAGGAAGGUGGGGACGACGUCAAAUCAUCAUGCCCCUUAUGUCUUGGGCUUCACGCAUGCUACAAUGGCCGGUACAAAGGGUUGCGAUACUGUGAGGUGGAGCUAAUCCCAAAAAGCCGGUCUCAGUUCGGAUUGAGGUCUGCAACUCGACCUCAUGAAGUCGGAGUCGCUAGUAAUCGCAGAUCAGCAACGCUGCGGUGAAUACGUUCCCGGGCCUUGUACACACUGCCCGUCAC